UGCGUAGGCGGUGCUCUAAGUCUGUUGUGAAAUCUCCCGGCUUAACUGGGAGGGUGCGGCGGAAACUGGAGUGCUAGAGUGUGGGAGAGGUAAGCGGAAUUCCUGGUGUAGCGGUGAAAUGCGUAGAUAUCAGGAGGAACACCUGCGGUGUAGACAGCUUACUGGACCACGACUGACGCUGAGGCAAAGACUGGGUAGCAAACA
Molecule: ribosomal RNA, 204 nt
Filed under: uncultured bacterium
Lineage: Bacteria
Description: partial 16S ribosomal RNA
Rfam family: Bacterial small subunit ribosomal RNA
Source: RNAcentral